RNAcentral lists this ribosomal RNA (512 nucleotides) under Chlorogomphus shanicus. RNAcentral describes it as "partial 16S ribosomal RNA". It matches the Rfam family "Bacterial large subunit ribosomal RNA", at positions 1819 to 2597 of the family's 2925-position model. The record is from RNAcentral. Lineage: Eukaryota; Metazoa; Arthropoda; Insecta; Odonata; Chlorogomphidae.
GUCUUCUUGAAUAUAUAAGAAGUCUGACCUGCCCGGUGAAUAAGUAUUUAACGGCCGCGGUAUUUUGACCGUGCAAAGGUAGCAUAAUCAUUAGUCUUUUAAUAGAGGGCUGGAAUGAAGGGUUUGACGAAAUGUUUACUGUCUCAUUUAAUUUGGAAUUUGAAUUUAACUUUUUAGUUAAAAGGCUAAAUUGUUGUUGGAAGACGAGAAGACCCUAUAGAGCUUUAUAUUUUAAAAUUUAAAAGAUUUUUGGUGAAUUACUAUUUUUUAAAUGGAGAAUUAUUUUGUUGGGGUGACAAGAAUACAUAAUGAACUUUUUUAUUUUAAUAACAUUGAUUUAUGAUUAUUAGAUCCAUUAUUAUUGAUUGAUAGAGAAAGUUACCUUAGGGAUAACAGCGUAAUCUUCCUUCAGAGUUCAAAUUUACAGGAAGGCUUGCGACCUCGAUGUUGGAUUAAGAUAAUAAUUAGGUGUAGCCGCUUAAUUAAUAGGUCUGUUCGACCUUUAAAUUCUU